CACACGAGCCAUCACACGAGCGGAUGUCACUUAAGUAGUAGUCACUGAGAAGAUUCAGUUCGAGAUGAAACCUGCUUUGAUCUUCAUUGUUGUGCUUAUGCUAUUGUGCAUCAUAAAGACUUCAGCAUCUGAUGUCCUUCACUGCGCAGGAGAGAAACAAAGCGAUGGACUGAUCCACCUCAAAAUGAAGCAUGACCUCAAAAAGGUUGCCCGUGACUGUGAGACACAAUUGCUUGUUGAUGGUAAAGUAACGGCAUAUUUUAAUGCUGAGGAAAAUCAAUGCCUCCAGCCCAUUGCCAAUAUAACAGCAAACAGCGCCAUCUUACAGAUCUGCCCUACAGGACUUGAAUGCCACCUCGUUUGCUUCAGUCUCGG
This 375-nucleotide long non-coding RNA is filed under the name Danio rerio (zebrafish). Its description in RNAcentral is "si:dkey-71b5.4 (ENSDARG00000092020.2)". The record is from RNAcentral. Lineage: Eukaryota; Metazoa; Chordata; Actinopteri; Cypriniformes; Danionidae.